RNAcentral lists this ribosomal RNA (307 nucleotides) under Paenibacillus sp. NFR01. RNAcentral's name for it is "partial 16S rRNA. Bacterial SSU". It matches the Rfam family "Bacterial small subunit ribosomal RNA", at positions 1 to 300 of the family's 1533-position model. The record is from RNAcentral. Lineage: Bacteria; Bacillati; Bacillota; Bacilli; Caryophanales; Paenibacillaceae.
CCUUUAUGGAGAGUUUGAUCCUGGCUCAGGACGAACGCUGGCGGCGUGCCUAAUACAUGCAAGUCGAGCGGAGUUUAUCCUUCGGGAUAAGCUUAGCGGCGGACGGGUGAGUAACACGUAGGCAACCUGCCCCAUGAACUGGGAUAACUACCGGAAACGGUAGCUAAUACCGGAUAAUUCCUCUUUUCGCCUGAAGGGAGGAUGAAAGACGGAGCAAUCUGUCAUCACGGGAUGGGCCUGCGGCGCAUUAGCUAGUUGGUGGGGUAACGGCUCACCAAGGCGACGAUGCGUAGCCGACCUGAGAGGG